RNAcentral lists this ribosomal RNA (26 nucleotides) under Silene velutina. RNAcentral describes it as "partial 26S ribosomal RNA". The record is from RNAcentral. Lineage: Eukaryota; Viridiplantae; Streptophyta; Magnoliopsida; Caryophyllales; Caryophyllaceae.
CCCAGGUCAGGCGGGGCUACCCGCUG